AUGUGCAGCAGGGAAGGAUUUAGGACUGAGAAGAACAAGGAGAUUAAAGACCCAUCAAACCAAUCAAAGAAAAGCCGUAAGAAUACAACCACUCGAUGCGGUUGUGAUGCACAUAUCUUUGUCAAGUUGUGUGGCGACAACACCUACAGGAUACAAUCAUGGGUUGAGCACCAUAGCCAUGGCCUUGUAUCACCUGAUAAACGUCACUUGAUCAGAUCAAAUCGUAAAGUUAAUGAGAGGGCAAAAAAUAUGUUGUACACAUGUCACAAAGCAAGCAUAGGUACAUGCCAGGCGUACAGGCUCCUUCAAGUCAGCGAAGGUGGGUUUCCGUAUGUUGGAUGCAGCAAGAGGGACCUGCAAAACUACUACCGUGACCUCAGGCUUAAAAUUAGGAACGCUGAUGCUCAAAUGUUUGUCGCUCAACUAGCUAGAAAGCAAGAAGUCAAUUCAGCUUUCUUCUAUGAUUUUGUUGUUGACAAAGAGGGGAACUUAAUGUAUGUUUUCUGGGCAGAUGCCAUGAGUAGGAAAAACUACAGUCACUUUGGGGGUGAUUGUGUGGUAUCCUUCGAUUCUACUUACACCACUAAUCAAUACGACAUGAUCUUUGCACCAUUUAUAGGGGUCAAUCAUCACUUACAGAGUGUGUUUUUUGGUGCGGCAUUCUUGUGCAAUGAGCAGACUGAGUCAUAUGUUUGGUUAUUUGAGACCUUCCUAACAGCAAUGGCAGGGGUAGCACCUAGACUCAUUAUAACUGAUGAAGCUGUUAGCAUGAAGAAUGCGAUUGAAACAGUUUUUUCGACCACAGUGCAUAGGUUAUGUAUGUGGCACAUAAUGGAAAAACUUCCGGAGAAGAUUGGACCAAUAAUUAGAGAAGAUUCUGAAUUUUGGGACAAGAUGAAUUCGUGUGUAUGGGUUUUGGAAACUCCAGCAGAGUUUGAAUCACAAUGGAAUUCCGUCAUUACGGAGUAUGGCUUGGAGGAAAAUGAGUGGCUGGUUAAAAGGUUUAGCAUUCGCGAGUCAUGGAUACCAGCUUACUUUAUGGACAUACCAUUGGCGGGUAUUCUCCGAACCACUUCAAGGUCUGAAAGUGCAAAUUCAUUUUUUAACCGUUUUAUUCAUCGUAAGCUUGCUUUGGUUGAGUUCUGGCUUAGGUUUGACAUGGCAUUAGAAUGCCAACGAGAAGAAGAGUUGAUUGCUGACAACUCAAGCAUUCAUACAACCCCGCAACUAUUAACACCAUGGGAAAUGGAGAAACAAGGUAGAGAUGUGUUUACAUAUGAGGUGUUUGAGAAAUUUCAGAAAGAGAUUGUUGCAGCAAGAGACCAUUGUUGCAUCCAAGGCAUUGCACAAGAUGGAACACUAAAAAUAGUGACAUUGAGAGGUCGAUCCCAUAGGAUUAGGGAAGUUCAGUGUGUCACCACAACCAUGAUAGCUCAUUGUUCAUGUAAGUUAUUUGAAACAAUUGGAAUCCCGUGCCGCCAUAUCAUGCAGGUGUUGAGGGCUGAAAAUCAAAAUGAACUUCCAUCGUACUACAUUAUGAAAAGAUGGAAGAAAUGGUGCAAAAGGGAGAAUGUGUAUGAUGAGCAUGGGAAUUUAAUAGAAGAGAAGGCAACCGAUUCGUUGAAUGAAGCUACGAGGAAGAAGAUUUCAGUUGUACGCAACAAGUUGGAAGAUCUAAUUCAGAAGGCCAAGCACUCGGAUGAAGGCAUGGAUUUUCUAACGUCAAGUGUAUUAAAUAUUGAAGCACCUUUGGAUGAAAUGGUUCCUACAUCAGGUGUGAAGCACACUAGACAAGAUGAGUAUGAGGCUUUUAUUGGUUGCAAUAUUCCUACUGAAAUUGACAUACACCCACCAACUGAUGUUCGCACGGUGGGGAGAUGCAAAAGAAUAAAGAGAGGAAAGGAAAUAAGUGAGGAGGAACAGAAAAAGAAGAAGAAGGAAGCCAAGGUAAAGGUUGCACGCUUGUGCAAGACUUGCAAACAAAUAGUUUUUCAUGAUAGUCGCAAUUGUCCUAGCAAAAAAGAAGGCAAAGGGGCGGAGAUUGUGCAGCAGAUGAAGCCAAGUGGUGUUCCG
Molecule: ribosomal RNA, 2073 nt
Filed under: Triticum aestivum (bread wheat)
Lineage: Eukaryota; Viridiplantae; Streptophyta; Magnoliopsida; Poales; Poaceae
Description: partial small subunit ribosomal RNA
Source: RNAcentral